AACGAACGCUGGCGGCAUGCCUAACACAUGCAAGUCGAACGAGACCUUCGGGUCUAGUGGCGCACGGGUGCGUAACGCGUGGUAACCUGCCCUUAGGUUCGGAAUAACUCCCCGAAAGGGGUGCUAAUACCGGAUAAUGUCUUCGGACCAAAGAUUUAUCGCCUUUGGAUGGGCCCGCGUUGGAUUAGCUAGUUGGUAGGGUAAAAGCCUACCAAGGCGAGGAUCCAUAGCUGGUCUGAGAGGAUGAUCAGCCACACUGGGACUGCGACACGGCCCAGACUGCUACGGAAGGCAGGAGUGGGGAAUAUUGGACAAUGGGCGAAAGCCUGAUCCAGCAAUGCCGCGUGAGUGAUGAAGGCCGUAGGGUUGUGAAGCUCUUUUACACGGGAUGAUAAUGACAGUACCGGGAGAAUAAGCACCGGCUAACUACGUG
RNAcentral lists this ribosomal RNA (433 nucleotides) under uncultured bacterium. RNAcentral's name for it is "partial 16S ribosomal RNA". It matches the Rfam family "Bacterial small subunit ribosomal RNA", at positions 29 to 507 of the family's 1533-position model. The record is from RNAcentral.